CUUGUCAGGAUAUACUCAAUGAAUUCAGCAAGGGUAGUUCAGGAACUGCUGGAUACUGGUUUGGUCUGAGAGCUGAAGGAGGGAGAUGGAAGUGGAUUGAUGGAAGUGAUCUGAAUGAAAGCUACUGGACACCACAGCCUCCUCCUGCUACUGACAGUCAGUGUGUAAUGUCUGUCCAGACCAAUAACUGGAUAUCAGUGAGCUGUGAUCAGAAACAAAGAUGGAUCUGCGUAAUGAAGCCUUUAUCUGUUUAAACACAGCAGUCAGACUCUGCAUGAUAAUAUCAACUGGCUUAUAAAUAUCAAACUAUGAAGACUUCUACUUCACAAUUUAAAUGUUUUGUCUUCAAAACUAAAAAUGUUCAGGG
Etheostoma spectabile (orangethroat darter) is the source of this 367-nucleotide long non-coding RNA. RefSeq lists it as uncharacterized. The record is from RefSeq and is a predicted model, not a curated record. The transcript is spliced from 2 exons. Lineage: Eukaryota; Metazoa; Chordata; Actinopteri; Perciformes; Percidae.